This is a non-coding RNA of Rattus norvegicus (Norway rat), 573 nucleotides long. NCBI's taxonomy places the organism in Eukaryota, Metazoa, Chordata, Mammalia, Rodentia, Muridae. The record is from RefSeq and is a predicted model, not a curated record.
UACUAUGCAGACUGUAUUUCCAGAAACCUGCUCAGCCAGCUCCUGAUGGAGAACACAUGUAGGAAGAAGUUGGUCCCACUGAAGCAGGAGAGCAAGGAGGUACAUCUUGAUUGUGCACUGAACCAGAAAUAUUUGGUUGACUUCAACAAGAAAGAUAAAGACCAGCAACGUCCAGACCCAGCAUCAUCUGGUCUCAGAAAGUGCAAGAGAGCUGGAAUUGGACACACACCAGUAAGAGAGCUUCCUGAAGAAUAAGUUGCUUUCUCAGGAGUCCCUGAUGAAAACAUCCUGAAUGAAAACAGCACUUGAGAGACAACUUGGGGGACCUCCUUUCAUUAUGUGUGCAAGAGGAGAAACAGCAAUACAUCUGUGCUUCCAAAUGUUCGUUAAGAAUGUGAUGUUUAGAAAUAUUUUUGUUAUGAUUUUAAUUGAAAUUUUCUUUUUGUUGUUUCAUAUUUAUAUGUUCUUGUUACUGUUUUUAUCUUUUCAAAUAUUUUUAAAUAUUUUAAUUUAUUUGUUUUAAUCCUGUUUUGUUGUAAAAAUGAAUUCCUUAUGAAUAAAAAUUGAAUUCUA